Molecule: long non-coding RNA, 2536 nt
Filed under: Zea mays
Lineage: Eukaryota; Viridiplantae; Streptophyta; Magnoliopsida; Poales; Poaceae
Description: long non-coding RNA (ZMAY_LNC002009)
Source: RNAcentral
ACAUAUUUACAUCUUGGUGACACAUGACUACAUAGUAGCAAAAGAUACUUUGUAGUUGCUGGUAUGAUAUUUAUUGAAUGGAGUGAUCAUGGAGUAUUGGUAGCAUCGCGGUCAUCCAAAUUACAGCUUAAACCAAGCUCCUUGCUUCUACAAUAGAGAAUUUGAGUUUUGUAAGACUAAAUGGUACAAAAUAAGAUAUUACUUUACUCGUAUGUAAGAAAAAAUGUGUUUUGGUGCUUAUUGACAAAUUGUAAGCAUGAUAGUGUGAUUUUUUAUUGGAGCAGUUUUUGGAAGUAUUAAUGCAUUAGAAAAAUAAUAGUUGUUUAGUAAGGAGGGACAAUAAGAUAUAUAGUUAUGUAAUAGAAGGAAAUCUGGUUUGCAAAAAAUAAUAAAUAACUGAUGUAUGUCUCUUAUGUGUUUCGUACUGCUUUAUUACUUCGUGUUGCUGUAUUCCAACGGUGAGCACAGGUAGAAGCAAAGGUAAAGUUCUAGAAAGUAUAUAAUCAAAACUCCACAUCAACCAUGAACAAAAAAUUAGCCGAUAAAUAUUCUUUUAUUUCUGGAUGAAAUCAUAUAACUGAUUAUUAAGAGCUAGACAUUCUCUUUACACAUAUUCACAAUGAAACUAAUAAUAAGAUGCAACCCUGACCCAUAAUUAAAUAAGCAAGAAACAUCGCAAGGUAAUUAUACCUGUGAUUCAUAUCAACCAUUAACUUACCAAGUUUUACCAUAAUUUACUGGAGCUACACUAUCACAAAUUUAGCACCCAUUUAUUUAGGUCAACAAUUAGGCCAUCAUAUGUGAUACAUAAGACAUGUUUUAGCGAAUAUCCAGGAUGGCACUAUUAAACAUCUCUCUAAACAAUAAAGCAAAGCGAACACAUCUAAGAACGAUUUAUAAUCUGGAAUGCAGAGUAUGCAACAUACUCAUGGAUUUAUGAACUGACGCAUACAAAUUAAAAUUUAUGAAUUUUUAAAAGUAUGGUAAUUCUAUGUUUAUAUUAAUGUAACUAUGGAUUCGCAUGGAAAAGCAUUGUUGUAGAGUGUUGUAAAUGCUUUUAUUGUUCUAGUAUUAUCUACUUUACUUUUUUAUUAGUACUUAGGUAAUUUAAAGAUGUUUGAUUGUUUUGAAUGGCAUUAGCUAGAGUUGGAGAAGCAAACCUUUUUGAAGGAGAUUCAACAGUAGCAAUUUUAGGAAUAGAGUCAACUAAACUGGUUGUUUCGUCUAUUAAGUAAAGAUGAAUGUAUGUAUCAAUGUUUUAUUUAGAUAAAUUCAUUUUAAUAGUAUCAUCUAAGCUUUUGUUAGAGAAUUACCUAUGGCGCUUUUUGUUCUAAGAAGUCAUCCUUUUUCGAAGCAGAGGUCUCUGAGCUAAGAUAUGUUAGCACCGGUUUGGCCUGUGUGUAGCAAUGGUAAUGUAUUAGAGUAAAGAAAGCAAAAAAUGGGAAAAUAUAAAAAAUAAGACUAAAAGCGGUUUUUUCAUCUAAAAUAUAACUAUGCACAUUAUACAUUACAUGAGGUGGUGAGCUAGUCGUCAGAUUUAAAAAAAUGAAUAAUCAUGCAAAGAAGAGAAACGUAAUAGUAGCAACAAUGGAGGAAAAUACAAAAAUCAGAGCACACCAUUAGAAAGGCAGAAAGGAAUGUGUAAUAAAAUGAACCUUGUUGGAGCAGCAUUUUCCCCCCAAGCAUAUAUGUAGAAGUUAAUGAAGCCCAUCUUUCCGAACCAAAGAUUAGGAUGUGCUGUCAAAUUUUAAAAUUAUAACAAAUUAGCAGAGAAUCAUAAUAAUUGAAUAUUGAUGCAAACAAUAACUAUAUAAUAGUACCACUAAUGGAGGAAAAAAUAGUAAGAUUGGAGCACACCGUUAUGAAAACUCAAAAAGGAAUGUGUAAUGAGAUGUACCUUGGUCAAUAGUUUUUUUCCUGUGGAAAUAUGUAGAAGCUGACAAAGCCCGUGUUUCCAAACCAAAGAUUAGUAUUUACUGUCAAAUAAAAAUUAACAAAAUAGUAAACAGUCAAUGCACUGACGUUUAUGUGCUAAACUAAUAAGGUACUAUAGAUACUAAAUGAUCGUCGUGUUUAGAGGUAAUGUAGCAAUUUAUGAACCAUUUUUUUUUAAAAAAUGAAUAGUCUUGCAAAGAAGAGAAACGUAAUAGUAGCAACAAUGGAGAAAAAUACUAAAAUCAGAGCACACCAUUAGAAAGGCAGAAAGGAAUGUGUAAUAAAAUGAACCUUGUUGGAGCAGCAUUUUUCCCCCAAGCAGAUAUGUAGAAGUUAAUGAAGCCCGUCUUUCCGAACCAAAGAUUAGGAUUUGCUGUCAAAUUUUAAAAUUAUAACAAAUUAGCAGAGAAUCAUAAUAAUUGAAUAUUGAUGCAAACAAUAACUAUAUAAUAGUACCACUAAUGGAGGAAAAAAUAGUAAGAUUGGAGCACACUGUUAUGAAAAGCCAAAAAGGAAUGUGUAAUGAGAUGUACCUUGGUUAAUUAGUUUUUUUCCUGUGGACAUAUGUAGAAGCUGACAAAGCCCGUGUUUCCAAACCAAA